UAUCCAGCGCGAGUUCAUAGAACUAUAUACAUGGUAAUAUGGUAUGAUGUACCUAUAGGUACGCAAUGCUAUUGAAAUCCAUUUCCGCAUUGUAAUAAUUCAACACAUUUUUCCCGUGGCUACAUACACCAUAAUAUGUCAUUGGCUCCAAAAUACGCGUCAUGUUACCAUCGUCUGUGCCACUAACGUUGCUACGUUGAUUUACAGCGGCGCUACGCGUAGUUGACUGUUCGUGACAUACAGAGCGCGGUUAUAGUGCGAUAUGCGAUUGAGACGACAGAAAAGAAGGAGACGACGAAAACGACGACGACGACGAUGUAAACUCCUCCGGCCAAAGACUGCGGAAGGCCGCUGAAUCGUAAUCAGUAGAAAAUUUGGACUUUGAAAAAUCUACCGAAUAACAGAACAAGUAUUUAUAGGUACCAACAUCAACAUUAGCACUACGUAUAGUAUAUAUAAUAAGGAUUAUUAUUGUAAUAUAGACUGACAUCGAAAAUAAUAAUAAUGUAAUUUUUUCGUUGCAUAAGUCACAUCAUUCCGAUCGUAAUUCAACACUAGGUAAUUAUUAUCAAUUAUAUAGCUAGUGAUAACUAGUUAACACAUAUUAAUAUAA
This is a long non-coding RNA of Rhopalosiphum padi (bird cherry-oat aphid), 613 nucleotides long. RefSeq lists it as uncharacterized. The record is from RefSeq and is a predicted model, not a curated record. NCBI's taxonomy places the organism in Eukaryota, Metazoa, Arthropoda, Insecta, Hemiptera, Aphididae. The transcript is spliced from 3 exons.